RNAcentral lists this transfer RNA (67 nucleotides) under Alpheus digitalis. RNAcentral's name for it is "tRNA-Gln". Lineage: Eukaryota; Metazoa; Arthropoda; Malacostraca; Decapoda; Alpheidae. RNAcentral also lists the same sequence under 2 other names. The record is from RNAcentral.
UUUUUCUUGGUGUUAAGCACGCAAAGCUUUGACCUUUGAAGAGGAGGAGAGAUUCCUCCAGAAAAAG